CCAUAGGCCUUUUUGAAAAGGCCAUCCAAAUUAUUUAACAGGUUGGUU
Non-coding RNA from Nestor notabilis (Kea), 48 nucleotides. NCBI's taxonomy places the organism in Eukaryota, Metazoa, Chordata, Aves, Psittaciformes, Psittacidae. The record is from Rfam.